AAUUUCAUCGUGAUGGGGAUAGAUCAUNGCAAUUGUUGGUCUUCAACGAGGAAUGCCUAGUAAGCGCGAGUCAUCAGCUCGCGUUGACUACGUCCCUGCCCUUUGUACACACCGCCCGUCGCUCCUACCGAUUGAAUGGUCCGGUGAAGUGUUCGGAUCGCGGCGACGGGGGCGGUUCGCCGCCCCCGACGUCGCGAGAAGUCCAUUGAACCUUAUCAUUUAGAGGAAGGAGAAGUCGUAACAAGGUUUCCGUAGGUGAACCUGCGGAAGGAUCAUUG
Molecule: ribosomal RNA, 278 nt
Filed under: Cinnagrostis crispa
Lineage: Eukaryota; Viridiplantae; Streptophyta; Magnoliopsida; Poales; Poaceae
Description: partial 18S ribosomal RNA
Rfam family: Eukaryotic small subunit ribosomal RNA
Source: RNAcentral